RNAcentral lists this transfer RNA (57 nucleotides) under Odocoileus virginianus texanus. It matches the Rfam family "tRNA", at positions 8 to 63 of the family's 71-position model. From Rfam's summary of the family: Transfer RNA (tRNA) molecules are approximately 80 nucleotides in length. RNAcentral also lists the same sequence under 10 other names. The record is from Rfam by way of RNAcentral. Lineage: Eukaryota; Metazoa; Chordata; Mammalia; Artiodactyla; Cervidae.
UAGCUCAGAUGGUAAAGAAUCUGCCUGCAAUGCAGGAGACCCAGGUUCAAUUCCUGG